Molecule: ribosomal RNA, 1550 nt
Filed under: Klebsiella aerogenes
Lineage: Bacteria; Pseudomonadati; Pseudomonadota; Gammaproteobacteria; Enterobacterales; Enterobacteriaceae
Description: bacterial SSU rRNA
Rfam family: Bacterial small subunit ribosomal RNA
Source: RNAcentral
AAAUUGAAGAGUUUGAUCAUGGCUCAGAUUGAACGCUGGCGGCAGGCCUAACACAUGCAAGUCGAGCGGUAACACAGAGAGCUUGCUCUCGGGUGACGAGCGGCGGACGGGUGAGUAAUGUCUGGGAAACUGCCUGAUGGAGGGGGAUAACUACUGGAAACGGUAGCUAAUACCGCAUAACGUCGCAAGACCAAAGUGGGGGACCUUCGGGCCUCAUGCCAUCAGAUGUGCCCAGAUGGGAUUAGCUAGUAGGUGGGGUAAUGGCUCACCUAGGCGACGAUCCCUAGCUGGUCUGAGAGGAUGACCAGCCACACUGGAACUGAGACACGGUCCAGACUCCUACGGGAGGCAGCAGUGGGGAAUAUUGCACAAUGGGCGCAAGCCUGAUGCAGCCAUGCCGCGUGUAUGAAGAAGGCCUUCGGGUUGUAAAGUACUUUCAGCGAGGAGGAAGGCGUUAAGGUUAAUAACCUUGAUGAUUGACGUUACUCGCAGAAGAAGCACCGGCUAACUCCGUGCCAGCAGCCGCGGUAAUACGGAGGGUGCAAGCGUUAAUCGGAAUUACUGGGCGUAAAGCGCACGCAGGCGGUCUGUCAAGUCGGAUGUGAAAUCCCCGGGCUCAACCUGGGAACUGCAUUCGAAACUGGCAGGCUAGAGUCUUGUAGAGGGGGGUAGAAUUCCAGGUGUAGCGGUGAAAUGCGUAGAGAUCUGGAGGAAUACCGGUGGCGAAGGCGGCCCCCUGGACAAAGACUGACGCUCAGGUGCGAAAGCGUGGGGAGCAAACAGGAUUAGAUACCCUGGUAGUCCACGCCGUAAACGAUGUCGACUUGGAGGUUGUGCCCUUGAGGCGUGGCUUCCGGAGCUAACGCGUUAAGUCGACCGCCUGGGGAGUACGGCCGCAAGGUUAAAACUCAAAUGAAUUGACGGGGGCCCGCACAAGCGGUGGAGCAUGUGGUUUAAUUCGAUGCAACGCGAAGAACCUUACCUACUCUUGACAUCCAGAGAACUUAGCAGAGAUGCUUUGGUGCCUUCGGGAACUCUGAGACAGGUGCUGCAUGGCUGUCGUCAGCUCGUGUUGUGAAAUGUUGGGUUAAGUCCCGCAACGAGCGCAACCCUUAUCCUUUGUUGCCAGCGGUCCGGCCGGGAACUCAAAGGAGACUGCCAGUGAUAAACUGGAGGAAGGUGGGGAUGACGUCAAGUCAUCAUGGCCCUUACGAGUAGGGCUACACACGUGCUACAAUGGCAUAUACAAAGAGAAGCGACCUCGCGAGAGCAAGCGGACCUCAUAAAGUAUGUCGUAGUCCGGAUUGGAGUCUGCAACUCGACUCCAUGAAGUCGGAAUCGCUAGUAAUCGUAGAUCAGAAUGCUACGGUGAAUACGUUCCCGGGCCUUGUACACACCGCCCGUCACACCAUGGGAGUGGGUUGCAAAAGAAGUAGGUAGCUUAACCUUCGGGAGGGCGCUUACCACUUUGUGAUUCAUGACUGGGGUGAAGUCGUAACAAGGUAACCGUAGGGGAACCUGCGGUUGGAUCACCUCCUUACCUUAAAGAA